CUUAUCAUGAAAGGUUUACGGGAGAGGUACUAGCUGUAAGACCUUAGCCUGCAUUCUGAAGAAUUUGUUCACCACUAAACAAAUGGUGGAAGAAUUUAUAUCCUCGCAGAUAUCUUGGAGAUGAUCUGCUCCAGGAGUGCUCAACCUCUCUAUUUCUCCUGGCACAACUGAAGGCUAACAUUUUUGUGCCACUCACUCCUCUGGCUCCAAGGGCUCCUGGUAGAAGGUGUAGACUGGAGUUUCAACCCUGCUGUAGCUGGUUCCAGGACUGGAAUGCCAUGUUCUGACCCGAGUUAUGCCAGAUGGACCUGAGAGUUGCUGUCCUGGUCCCAACCUCCAACCUUACAAAAAGAAAACUGAGGCACAAAGAGGUUAGCUGACUUGCCUGUGUCAUCCAUCUACUUAGAGAUCAUCAAGGCUGGAUCUAGAGCUCAAGUCUUCCGGGCUCUUUGAUAAGGCAGUAAGAACUAUAACUGGUGUCUUGAGAAACCCCCCCACCUCAAUGCUUAUGUGACAGUAAUGUGGUCAAUUACACAUUCUGGAUUAAAAUCUCUCCAUUUUUGA
Long non-coding RNA from Lagenorhynchus albirostris (white-beaked dolphin), 564 nucleotides. RefSeq lists it as uncharacterized. The transcript is spliced from 2 exons. The record is from RefSeq and is a predicted model, not a curated record. Lineage: Eukaryota; Metazoa; Chordata; Mammalia; Artiodactyla; Delphinidae.